GAUAACUCCAAACUCCAAAAAGAGAAGCAAAAGAAAGAAAGAAAAGGACGCGUUCUUCUUUCUUUUUUUUCCCCCUUUAUUCAGUAAAAGUGCGUUAGUGAAUACUCUUUGUCUUUACUAACCCUACAAAUUCUCUUCCGGCAAGUUUUCAGGUUCCUCCGAAUCGCUCCGACGCCUUUGAUGUUCACAUCUUCCGGUAGUCCUGUCGCAGAUGACUUUCGCCCAUUUAUAGAACCACACUUUCUUUAAUUUGAAUUCUAUGUGGUAGGACGAGAGUCAUCUGUGACAGGAUAAUGGAAGAUCGAGUUAUCAAAGGCUUAUUGGGCGUUUCCUUUUUCAUCUUGAGUUCGUACCAGGUUAAUGCAAAACCGAAGAAGUAGAGCAGGUGGACAUUUCAUUACCAUUAUUCUACUACAUAUUGGAUUGAGAAUUAUUUGCUUCCAAUUUUGAGCCUAUGCUAUUGAAUUUGAUAUUAUGCUAAACACAUUGUGGGUGAGUGCUGUUGGUAAAAACGUAUAUGGCAGAUGUGCUGGAUUCCAAUUUAUGGGAGAAAAUGAAAAUAUAUAGCAGCACUAGAUGUGUUGGAGUUGAAGCAGUUAUGUGGUUUGUCAAUGCCGAUGUAUUAUUCUUUGCAUUUGAGCUAUGUGCUACCAUUUUUGUCCUUGUUAUGUAUGUUUAAAUCCCUGAAUGUGUGCGUGUUUGUGUAUAUAUACCUACACAGAAAAAUUUGAGUAUUUACUCUGCAGUUGAAGGUGGUGGGUGGAUUAAAGAUAGUAAUAUACCUGGACGGAUAGGUGUUAUAAUUGCCUCAUAUUUCCAUAAUAGAAUUUGGUAUAAGAAUAUAAUGGUAUCCUGACUGUCGUCUUGUAAAUUAUUUUUUGUUAUAGGCUUUGUUAGGACUAUUGCACAAAGGUAUUUGGCAUCUCCUAAGAAAAACUUUAUUUACUGGAUCAAUUGAUGAUUAGAAUAGAUUUUUGAUAUUUAUCAUUAACCAAUUUAGAAGGAAAUCAGUUCAGACAGUUUGAUUAGCAAGGGAAAAAUAAAUUGAUUGAUGAAGAGGCUUCUUAGUUUAAUGUUUGUUUAAGUAUUAUGGACACUCUUGUAAUUAAUUUGAAUUCAAUGUGUUAGGACGUGAGUCAUCUGUGACAGGAUAAUGGAAGAUCUAGUUAUCAAAAGGCUUAUUCGGGCGUUUUUUCUCAUGUCCAGUUCGUAGCAAAAUCUCCAACUUUUGCAGAGUAGCACAGGUAGACAUUUCAUCACCAUUACUCUAUUAGAUAUUGAAUUGAGUAUUAUUUGCUUCCUCUUUUGAGCGUAUGCUAUAGAAUUAGAUUUUAUGUUAACACAAGUUACUAUUUCUGUGUGUGUGGUGUUGAAAUUUGUCUGUAAAACUAGGCUUUUUAUUUAAUCAAUAUUAAGAAGAUGUGGUAUGUGCUUUAUCAAAAAAAGAAGAUGUGGUAUGUGGAGAUGUGUAGGACGAGAAAAUGGAAACAUAUAGCAGUGUUCAACUUUUUGCAGGCCUAGAUGUGUUGAAGUUUCAGCAGUUUUGUGGUUUGUCAAUAGUCUUUGUUUUAUUAAAGAUGUACUAUUCUUUGCAUUUGAGGUAUGUGCUAACAAUUUUGGGCCUUGUUAUGUAUGUUUGAAUCCCUGAGUGUGUGCGUGUUUGUGUAUAUAUACCUACACAUAUACAUACACAGAAAAAUUUGACUACAGUUGUAGGUGGGUGGAUUUAAGAUAGUAAUAUACGUUGACGAAUUGGUGUUAUAAUUGCCUCAUAUUUCCAUAAUAGAAUUUGUUAUAAGAAUAUUAUGGUAUCCUGACAGUCGUCUUGUAAGUUAAUUUUUUUUUAUAUAGGUUUUGUUAGGACAAUUGCACAAAGUUAUUAGGCAUCUCCUAAGAAAAACUUGUUAUUAUUCCUACUGGGUCAAUUGAUGAUUAGCAUAGAUCUUUGAUAUUUGUCAUUAACCAAUUUAGAAGGAUAUCAGUUGAGACAAUUCAAUUAGCAAGGGGAAAAUAAAUUGAUUGAUGAAGAGGCUUCUUAUUUUAAUGUUUGUUCAAGUAUUAUGGACACUUUGGUACUCUUGUAGGAUGCCAGAUUCACUCACUGCUUCACUGUGAUCUAUGUUUACCAUGGAUAACGUAAUUAUCAGAUGUAUUAGAAUCUUUAUCUCCAAAAAGAAGAGGAGGUUAUAAAAUCAAAAUAUCUUGCCUUCCAUCCGGAUCUAGCUUGUGCUCCUCACGGGUAACUCUAUCCACUAAUCUUAUAGCUCAUGGUCUCAACCUACUUCAAUCCUUAAGCCAUACCCUUGGGUACCCUUCCAUACCCUUUUUCACGAGCCAAUGCAUCCUAUUCAGCUGCUGCUAGCAACGCAUGUCAUUUUGGCCGAGUGUGAAGUUAAUUAUCCAUCAUUUGGUAUUCUAAAUUUAGGGAGAGCUUGACAGUUCUCUUCUGUAUUAUUUUCAUUGCACCAAGGGUAUGCUAGCUUCUCUCUUUAAGUCCAGGUUUUUCUAACUUUGUGGUGUGAUUUAUCAUAUUCUACUUGUUUUUGAUGGCCAGUAAAGCCUCGAGUCAUAAUGCUUGCUGUGAGUACUUCCGUACGAAAUGUUGAAAAUUAUUUAGUUAGGUAGGUAAGUUAGCUUAGUCCAUCAGAUUGACUUUGGAAAUCCAUAAAUCCCAAUCCUUUAUCAUAUCUUAUACCCUAAACCCAACAAUAAUUCUACUAUGAUGACAAGUUGACAACUAAGUAUAAUUUUUACUUUAUACUAGAAUGUUAGGUUAUUAGAAGUUACAUUUUGAAAAUUAGCAACUGUUAUGAUAUUUGUCUUCUAAUCAUCAGUGGAUAAUCUUUAUUAGGUGCAACAAGAUAGAUACGGAAUACUGAUUUCUUUAGGUAGGGGAAUGUAAAGUCAGCAUUGAAAAAGAGUAACAAAAUAAGAUCCAUCCCUCAUAUUAAGCAAAUACCACAUAAGUCAUUUUAUAAUCCUUAUGAUCUAUUAUAAUGAAGCUCCGAAAUUGUUAGAAUAUUACUAAGGAAUUUGUGGCUCGAGAUCCAACCCUUAACACCAAAAUAGAUUUACAUAAAUAGCAUUGAAAGACUUAGAAGUUGGAUAUUUUAUUAAUAUAGUAGCUAAGGGUAUGCAAUUGGGAUUAGAAGCCUUGAGUAAUCUUCGAAGUACAUAAAGUAAAGUUGUGAAGCAAAAUCAUCAGUUGCUUGUUUUCAUGUACUUUCAACAUAUGAACAAAUUUAACAGGAAACAAGAACUAAUGACUGCUAAAACAAUAAUUCCUCUACCAAUAUGCAAUGUAGGGCCUCGCAACCUUUCCAUAUCCAAUGGCCUUCUUGUAAACUGGUUUGCGCAUCAUGCCACAUUCUGCUUGAGACUGUUGCUUUACUCCAUACUUGUUUGUCUGCUGUUCUCUCUCUAUAGGAGCAGAAUCCUUAAUUCCUCUACUUGUCGAUUUCCCUUCACCUUUGCUUCUACUGGACUUCUUUUUUUCAGUCUGAAUCACCUUCGACUUCUUCUGUUUCCUGAAUUUACUCUCAAAAGCAUUGGCAUCACUUUCACCCAAUUCAUUACCUAAAUAGUCUUGUUCCCUUGAUUUUCUUUUCUUUACAGAAACUUCCCUCCCGUUGUGUGCUUUUAAAUCAAUUGAAGUACCUUUAGCACCACGAUUUUGAAAGUUACUUUGGAUGAGCGAUUGGUAGAGGGCAUGUAGAGCACUUGUGGUAUCGUCCUCACUAAUGUCACAACAGUUCAUGCCAGGAAGCCAGUCUAACAUGGUGCAGACCCAACUCUGAGAAAGUUGAUUGGGUUUUAUACCAUAGGGGAGAAGCCUCCGCUUCCGACAUGUAGAACAUAGAAUCCAAUCUUCUUGUAUAAUGAAUGGAGCAAGUGGUGACUCAUCCCCUGAAGUGGUCAGUUCCGGGCAGUGUGUCUUAUCAGAAGUAGUGUGUGAAUCACUACUCUUCGGGGCAGCAGUAUUACCAGAACGAAGCUUAAUCCUAAUCCUAAUGGGUUUGUGAGAAGAAAUAGGGGUAGGGGUAGGGGAAGGGAGUUUCUGAGAUAUCUGUGGUUGAAUUACAAGUUGAUCAACCGGCAAAAACGAACCAUAAACACCAAAUUUUGGCCCCAACUUCUCAACAGAAACAGUUCCUUCAAAAUCUUUCGUAUAAUUGCCCAAAACAGUUUGAAGCUUAGCAUCAAUGUUUAUAUGAGAAUCGUCAUAUAUUUCUCCUCCUUCAAUUUCGUGUUCUUCUGCCAUCGUAGUUUCCUAGUCCUAUGCUCACAGUUCCUAAAUUUCUUUGCGAAGUUCACAAAAAAAUCUAAUCUAUAUAUAAAAAAAACUCCUGAUUAAUUUUGGUAACUUAUUACCGACUAACUUAUAAAAUUGACACAGUUUCUAAAUUUUUUUGCAAAAUUACCAAAAAAAAUCCGCUUAAUUAUAACUAAUUAGGAUUAGUAGUCCUAAGCCGAAUCAAUUUAGGAAAAACCUACCUAUUAAUGUGAUAACUUAUUAACCACUAACUAAACAACUAAUAAAUAGACACGUUAAUUUUGUAAUUAAAAAUUAAUUUGGUAACUUAUUACCGACUAACUAAAUAACUAAUUCAUUGGGCAUCGUAUUAAAAUAAAAUAGACACGUUAAUUUUGUAUGAAAACGUUAAAUUUUCUUCUGCUUUCUUAAACUGUAUUAUUGGGUGUGGGUGUGUGUGUGGGGGGGGGGGGGGAGGGAUGAAGUAUGACAUACUUGUGAGUUAUUUUAAUUAACCGAUUGUCUUUUUAUUUCAAUUAGUUAAAUAUACAUUAUUUUAUUAUUUCAAUUUAUACGAAGGUGUUCGACUAAACACAUCAAUUUAGAUUUAAAAAAUAAGACUAUUUAGCUAAAUCAUCUUACAAAUGACUAUGUUAGUAAUUUUUUUAAAAAAUUAACAUAAGACAUAAAUUUAAGGAAUAAUUGCAUAGAAUGAUAAAUUAAUAAUGUAAAAUAAAUACAGUAGCUAUCGUUUGAAUUUUUUUGUACUACAUGUCAAAAUAUAUUUUUUAUACCAUAUAAAUAUAGACUACACAGAUAAAUAAAUUUAAAUUCAUAAUUUAAAAAUUCAAAUUCAAAUUAUUAAGAACUCUCGAUUUUGCUCAAACUGAAACUAUGCCAGCUCUGCUCACUGCAACUCAUGCUCUAUUAAUUAAUGUUAAUUUAAUGGUGGAAUUCAAUUUAUCUACUUAUCUUAGAAUGUUUUUUUUAAAAUAUAAAUAAUAUUGAAUGAUAUUUGAGAAAUUAAUUUAUUUUGAAAAAAAAAAAGAGAAGAUCCUACCGAUGUUAAAAGAAAAUCUCACCGAUGUUACUAUGGCAACAGUUAUGUUUGGUCAAAGAUCAAAAAAAUCCUUUCAAAAGAAAACUAUUCUUUUAUGCUUUAAAAUGAAGACCAAGAGACCCUUCGGCCCUCCGUGAUCCAACAUAAAAAUUGAGAACUUUUUUUUUUUUUGAAAUUUCAAAUACGAGUUUGAUUUUAUUUAUUUAUGUAUGAUUUAUAUAAAAUUUAUAGUGUAAAAUUAAAUUACUUUUUAUAUUUAUUAUUUUCCUAAUUACACAAAUCUCAUAUUUUUUUGGCAUUUUAAAUACAUAUUAAAGAUCCACGUUGAUAUAUUAUGUAUCAAACUGUUACACUUAUUAAGAAAAAACAAACUGAAAAAUCAAAUUAAGAUCUCAUACUAUUGAUCUAUUGCACUGAUUAAGGAAAAAAAUAAAAAAUCAAAUAAAGAUUUUGUAAAUUGUGUUUAGGGUUGUCAAAUGGGCGGGUUGGGUUUAAAUUGAGAUAUAAAAUGGGUUGACAUAGAAGACGGGUUGGGUCUUGAACCACCCAAGUUUACUUUGAGCUCAAAUGGGCUGAAAACGUGUUGGGUCUUGACCUGCCCAAUUUGACCCGAUUAAUCUCAAUAAUUUAACAUAUUGAUAUUUAACUUUUGUAAUUACAAUUUGAAGUUCAACUCAAUUUUUUUUUAAAAAAGUAACAAAUGGAUGAAUAAACCAUAAAAGAUGUUAAAUAGAUAAUAAUUCAUACCUUGGAUAUAUGAACAUAUUUUAAUAAUAAAUUUUAAAGCGAGUUGAAAAUGAAGAUUGAAUUGGGUUCAAUUGAGGAUUCUCUUCAAAUGGGUUAUGUUUGAAUGAGUUGAGCUGAACCUAAUUCAAAUUAUCUUGAACCCAAUCCUUAAAAUUCUGGACGAGUUGAGCGAGUUACCUAUGUUUGGGUUCAUUUUUGACACCCCUAAUUGUGUUAUUCCAUUCCAAAUUAUUAUCAAGAAUUCAAUCAUAUAUAGUGUAACUAAUCAAAAAAUUCAAAAAUUAUAUUUCUUCUUGUUCAUCGUUCUCUCUGUUUCAUAAAAAAAUUUAUCGAAAUUUUGAUUAAGCAGGGUGAGUUAUGAAGGACACAAAAGUGAUGGAAUUGUUGUUGGACUAACUAUUUCUUCUGUGAAUCUUCAAGUUCAUCGAAUAUCCUUUCGAUUUUGAUUCAAUCUUGUCGAAAAUUUUGAGAUUCAAAGUUAUACUACCAGUUCAUUGAAAAUCCUUUCAAUUUUGAUUUAAAAGUGUUGAAAACUUUGAGUUUCAAAAUUAUUCUCCUAGUUUAUUGAAGAUCCUUUCAAUUUUGAUUUAAAAUUAUUAAAAAUUUUGAGAAGAUACAUCAUGAAGAUCCUUUCAAUUUAAUUAAUAAGUUUUGUAUUUCUACUAGAUACAUUAAAUAAGAAAGUGUUGCCCAUAAGAUUUUAGGUAUGAGAUCGAUUAUUAUUUGGUAAUUGUUAUGUAUCAGAUACAUUUAGUAUAAAUUUGGAUUCAAGUAUCAUAACUAAAAAUUAGUGUCAGGCCCCGAGCCUACACCUUGAACGUGGCCAGCACCCAAUAACUAUUGUUGGCCUUGAGCGAACCCUUGGUAUGACUUAUUUAACUCAUCGGAAGACUUAACUCAACGUAAAACAUGAAACAUUCUCAAAAGAUUACUUAAAAUAAAAUACUUGGUCAAAUUGGCACUUAAGUCUCAUGGUAUAUAAUUGUAAAUAAGGAGAGACUCAAACUGAACUAUUUGACUGACUAUCUGUCUAUAAAGUCUCUAUCAUACUAAGAUGGAUGUUGGGACAGACCUCACAACAUCCUAUAAGUAAAGACUAGAAAGCAAUAAAAAAGUCCUCCGAAAUGCAAAGAGGCUCACCACUAACUCUAAGUGCUCAAACUGGAUCAAUGAGGCGUUGAAUGCUAAUCCUGGAUACAUGCGUUUACAUCAUGAUGCGAUGCAGACCAACUGGCAUCAAUACAUUUAAUGUACGAGUAUGCGAGUUGGAAAGCUAACAAAACUUAAGCUUGAAAAGAGUAAGAAGAAACACAUACCUUGACUCUGCUCAACUCAUGAAAUAUUGAACUUAAUAUAAAGCAAUAUGGCAUGUGCAAUAUACAUAAAACUUGUAAAACAGUGUAAACAACUUAGUUCGUUAAAUAAAAUGCAAUAACAAACUCAACUUUACUUAUAUAUGAAAGUAAUAUAGUUUCUGUGGGAGAUUCUCUAAACGACAACAAUCACUACGAGUUUAAGUGAUGCUACAACAUUUUACCUCACGUUGCCAAGGACUAUCCUAUAUCUUGUCAUCAGUACAGGACCUUACUUAACUAGUCGAUCAAGUAGCUUAACUUACGUAAUCAUCUAAAAAGUAUGACCCAUUAAUACCCAUUAAUGACUACAUGAUUAUCAUGGAGACUUAAGUUAAUUGUGAACUCUCAUCCCCAAAUCGGUGCUAAAUAAUACUCCAAAAACGUACUUUAGCUCAUUCUCUUAAAACAACUUUCUUUUUUUGGGUUGAGAUAAUUACUCAACACUUUAACUUUUAAAAAACUCUCUUGGAAUCAAUAUUCCCUUUUCUUGUUCAAAAUUCUUUUGGUAAAUCUUAGUGUCAUCUUAACUUAAAUGUGAAAACAUUUAUAAACUUUUAGGUAAUACUUAGUUCCCUUAUAACUUUUGAGAAAUGAUCACAACUCUUUAUUCCUUGCUUAAUUUUGAACUUGAGUCUUAAUCAAGUCUUUGAAAAUAUGUAAUUUCCUUAUAUUUCUUUAAUGUAAGACUUCAACUCUUUACUGAUUACUUUAACUUGAAGCUUGAGCCUUAAAACGGAGUUAAAACGUUUUAGUAGAGACUAUUGAAAAUCUUUAAGAACUUUGUUUUGUAACACCUUGAAAAUUCAAGACAUGUCUUUAAGUCUAACAUAGGUGUCAUAAGGUCUAAGUACAAUUUUAAGUCCAUUUUAUUGAAUAUAGGUCAUUUAAGAAGUUUAAGAACCAAGACAUUUGGGAAGUUGGUUCAAAGGGUUGUUAGUGUGCCUUAGCCUAUUUGACUAACUUUUAGGAGUCGGAAAUGUACGAAAAUUGAUGGAAGGGUAGCUAAUAGGUGUUUGAGUUGUUUCAUGGUUGAAACGUCCGGGUACGACGCCCCAAGGACCAAUCAAGGGCCCUUGAGAAGGACCCUGCAGGUUGAAGCAACACUGCUUGUACAGUGUGCAUCGAUGGGGCAACAGACGGCCCGUGUGUGGACAGACGGGGCGUCGAUGCCAUUAAAGUUGAGUGAUUUUAUUGAUAUAAAAAAUAUCUAAAUUGAGUGAUUUUAUUGAUGUAAAUAUCUAAAUUGAGUGAUUUUAUUGAUGUUAAAUAAAAUUUAAUGACUAUCAAAUAAAGGAAUUUUGAAAAUUAGUGACAUUUUGAUAUAUUACCUCUUACUUUUGUGGCUUCAUUAUAUCCUCAUAUAUAUAUUUUUUGGUCAAGGCAAACAUAAGACUAUUUGUUCAACAUAUGACUUAUGACUCCAUCUGCAAAUUAUUUUUUAGAGGAUUUCGGAAAGAGAUAGUUACUGGAAGUUGGGACUAACGAUUUAUCAUUUUCAAUUGACCUUUUAUUUAGGUGUACACAAGUAAAUAUUUAAAUUUGUAUAAAAUUGAAUAAAUAGGUACAUUCGUCUAACAUAAUACUCUACAUGAUAGUUUUAUGUACUACAUGACAUCCAACAUGUAUUAUGUCACAUAAGACACAUGUGUCUAUUUGUUCAAUUUUAUACAGAUUUGAAGGCCUAGUACUUGUGCAUACCCAAAAUUAAGGGUUAUGAUUGUCAAUUGAAAUCAGAUUAAGUGAAGAUUGUGCUCUAUUCGUUUGUAAAAGUAAGCGUUUUCGAAAAAAAGACUGUAAAUUAAGGAGUUGACAACAAUUGUCAGAUGGGGGAUUAGGCUUGUCAAUUAACAAGUACAACAAUUACGAAAACAUGGGGUAGCUAAGUAGAGAAGGAUUCUCAGGGAUGUGAUCGAUUAAAGGUUAAUUUUACUAUAAGGGUAAUUGUAAUUCACUAGCAAUUGUUGAACCUCAAUGGGUAGGUUAGACUACAUAUGCAAUAGUUUUCUCUCGAACAAUUAUUACGAUUUAAGUAAGUUCUCUCGAACCUCGCAAAAUUUAAGAUUAUUUUUCAAUGAUUGGCUCAAGCCGUGACGACUCAAGUCAAUAGGAAGGUUGUGAUUCCUGUAAACUCUGAUGUGUUACAAGAGAUUUUAAUCAAUAACCAUAUCAUCAGAACGGUUUAUAACAGAGACCUUUAUUUAAUUGGUAAAACUCAAGUCCUCGACUAGUUCUUUCAAAACUUGAUGAAUGUAAUGUGAUGUCUUUGUAAUUUCCUCAACUUUAAGAGAAUCCUUUCUCAUUCUCUUUUCUUGUUCAAGCUUUAAUUUUUUCAUAUUUGUUGCUUGUUGACCAAGGAAAACUAAAGGAGGGAAUUAAAGCAUCAAAGUAGUUAUAGUGAGUACUGUUGUACGUACAUAAAGUAUAAAAGCAAAUUAAAGAUGUGCAACCCCAAAACUUUCAACUUAUAAUUACUGCUUCAACAACAAGAAUUAAAAAAAGUGCAUAAACUAAUGAUUAGUUUUGUAAGAUAAAACUCUCUUUUGAGACUGCUUAAGUUGCUUGGAUGUUUCCUAAACGUUAUCUUGAAAUUUCAUUUCCAUUAUGAUUAAUUUGACAUGUUCUUUUGUUAAAAUUUAAAGUUCACACCUGACCUUUUAUUUGAUAUGCCUUUGGAAAAUGUAACGAGUAGAUGGUAAAAUUUACUACAACACAAAAAUACAUAAGUACUCCCUAAGCUAUAAUCUAAAUCACAGAGACACAUUUUAAUUAAACUAAGGUCUUAUUAUUUUCUGAAUUUAUUUUUUUGUAAUUUUAUUUACCUUUUGUCUUACAUGACACACUCCGUGACUCCAUACAAUUGAGGUGCGUGAAAGAUAUUUGAAUUUCACGUAAGUCAAAAAGGUGCACAAAAUUAUAAAAAAAAAUCAAAAGAUAAUAGGACAUUAAUUUAAUUAAGAUAUAUCUCUGAGAUUAUUAUUAUAGUCUAGGAGGUACUUAUGCAUUAUUUUUAACAAUUAAUAUUUUUGAUGUGUCAAAUCAUAAGUUAAAAAAGGAAAGAGGGAGUUGUCCUAGAGUUUAUAUAAAAUAUUGAAGUCAAUUUUACACCCCUAUAUAUUAUAAUAACAAAGUUUUCACUCUCCAUAAUUCAUUUCCAUUGCACAAGCACGAUACAUACACUGCACACGAGCACUGAUCACGCAAAUUGAUGGGAGCUAAACUCACAGUUAUAGAAAACAGGUGCAACCAUGAUAUUGAAAUCAGAGUUUGGGUUUCUCCGGCUCGACCCGACAAAUUUCAAAGCAUAAUUAGAAUUGAAGGUGAAGGUGGAUGGAAGGAAGUAAAUUCCAAAAAUUUCAUCCAUGCAGACGCUACAAUUCUUGAUGAUGAUAUCGAAUUUGUAUUGUCUACCUUGCUAAUGAUUUAUAUGGAUGGUGUUUAUACAGGAUAUUACUUUCUUCCAAUUCACUUAGUGAAAUACGCGAAAGUCAUCUGCGACAUUAAUGAAGAUGGACUUUUUAUUGUUCAAGGAAUCAAACCAACAUUCGAUUUCUGCAGAUUUAAGUAAUUUUGUUACAACUUCAAAUGUUGCACUUGUAUUCAUUUAAAUGAUGUUUUAAUUUUUAUUUUUUUCACAGGGGUUGCGCCUUUUUUCCUUAUCUCAGAGGAAACAAAAAGGAGAUGAUUUGAACCUGCAGUAUUUAUGUUUGUUAUUUUGAAUUAAUGGAAUGCACAAAUUCAAAAGUAUGAAGUUUUGAUGAUAGACAAAGAUAUUCAAGAAUCAAGUUCAACACUACAACAAAGUCAUGUCUUUUCUUUAUGAUGUAAUUGAUAUUGUUCUAGGCUAUUAUUGAAUUAUAAUAAAUCCUAAAUUGAAGUUGUGAGGUUUGUAACAAGAAGAAAGUUGAUCCUCUUGGAGACUUUCCUUUAAAUCAUCCUUUGUAAUAUGAAAUCUCUCUUGAAUUUAGUGAAAUUUGAUUGCUAAAAUCAUACAUAACAUAGGUCGUGGUUUUUAUAUCGUUUGAGAAAAGGAAACUUUCCAUGAAAAAUAUUAUGUUCUCUACGUUAUAGCUUAUGGUACAACAUACAGAAACCUAACUCCUCUCACGAGUGGUUGGUACUAUCUCCGAUUUUUAAUUUACUUAUCUUUAG
RNAcentral lists this long non-coding RNA (11563 nucleotides) under Solanum lycopersicum (tomato). RNAcentral's name for it is "long non-coding RNA (SLYC_LNC000561)". The stretch from base 189 to 302 matches the Rfam family "MIR1919 microRNA precursor family". Lineage: Eukaryota; Viridiplantae; Streptophyta; Magnoliopsida; Solanales; Solanaceae. The record is from RNAcentral.